Trichomycterus rosablanca is the source of this 775-nucleotide non-coding RNA. NCBI's taxonomy places the organism in Eukaryota, Metazoa, Chordata, Actinopteri, Siluriformes, Trichomycteridae. The record is from the annotation of a RefSeq genome assembly.
AUUUUUUUAUUAUUAUAAUUGGUAAUGGGUGUCAUCAGGUGGUGGAAAUACAUUUAGAAUUACAUUUAAUCCAAAAAAAUAAAUAUAACCUUGUAAAUUGAUUCCAUAAUCACCAGAAAUCUGAUAUAAUGGCAACAUAGAGAGAGAAUAUUAGUGAUCCAAUUAUACACACCUGAGGAACUCAACAGGGUCACUUCAUCAAGUAGCAUCAAAGCUCCACAGUAACUCAGUUCCUGUUUAGCAUUUAUGCAAAUCUCCUUUUUUUCUGGUAAUAUUAGCAUCAUAUGUACCUGGACACAAGCACUUUCUGAUCACACUUGCUGUAACAUCAUGUGGACUUCAGCUGCUCUGCUGCUGCUCGCUGUGGCUUCCUAUGUGUCCUGUGCUACUGAGCUCAUCCAGCCAGACUCAGUGGUUGUAAAGUCUGGUGAGACUUUAACCAUCAACUGUAGAGUUUCAGGAGCUUCAAUUACUGACAGCAGCCAUUAUGGAACAGCUUGGAUUCGACAGCCUGCAGGAAAAGCUCUGGAAUGGAUCAACACAAUUUAUUAUAAUGGAAAUAUUAAUGAAAAAGAUUCACUUAAAAACAAGUUUGUUGUUUCUCGAGACACGUCCAGUAACACGGUGACCCUACAGGGACAGAAGAUGCAGAAUGAAGAUACAGCUGUGUAUUACUGCGCCAGAGAACCACACUGGUGUCCACAUACUUUUGACCAUGUAAACCUCCUCCUCCUUAUAUCUGAAACUGCUUCACCUCCCACCAUCAGCGGAUAAG